Molecule: ribosomal RNA, 1244 nt
Filed under: metagenome
Description: bacterial LSU rRNA
Rfam family: Bacterial large subunit ribosomal RNA
Source: RNAcentral
UGAAUACGAGACGCUAAGGCGUCGAAGUAGUGUAUGUCAUACUUCCAGGAAAAGCUUGCACUGUCAUAGAUAAAAAACGCCUGUACCAUAACCGACACAGGUGGGUAGGUAGAGUAUACUAAGGGGCGCGAGAUAACUCUCUCUAAGGAACUCGGCAAAAUAACUCCGUAACUUCGGGAGAAGGAGUGCCUUAUUCGUAAGGUUGCAAUAACAAGAUCCAAGCAACUGUUUAUCAAAAACACAGGUCUCCGCUAAGUCGUAAGACGAUGUAUGGGGGCUGACGCCUGCCCAGUGCCAGAAGGUUAAAGAAGUUGGUUAGCAAUUGCGAAGCUGAUAACUGAAGCCCUGGUGAACGGCGGCCGUAACUAUAACGGUCCUAAGGUAGCGAAAUUCCUUGUCGGGUAAGUUCCGACCCGCACGAAAGGCGUAAUGAUUUGGAUACUGUCUCGGAGAGGGGCUCGGUGAAAUAGACUUGUCUGUGAAGAUGCGGACUACCUGCACCAGGACAGAAAGACCCUAUGAAGCUUUACUGUAACUUGAAAUUGAAAUUGGACUUUAUUCGCGCAGUAUAGGUGGGAGGCGUUGAUUAUAAUCUUGUGGGAUUAUUGGAGCCAUCAGUGAGAUACCACUCUUGUAAUGUUAGAUUUCUAACUUUGAAUCAUUAUCUGGUCAAAGAACAGUUUCAGGCGGGCAGUUUGACUGGGGCGGUCGCCUCCUAAACGGUAACGGAGGCGUACAAAGGUUUCCUCUGAACGGUUAGAAAUCGUAUCUAGAGUGUAAAGGCAUAAGGAAGCUUGACUGUGAGACCUACAAGUCGAGCAGGGACGAAAGUCGGUCUUAGUGAUCUGACGGUACUGAGUGGAAAGGCCGUCACUCAACGGAUAAAAGUUACUCUAGGAUAACAGGCUGAUCUCCCCCAAGAGUUCACAUCGACGGGGAGGUUUGGCACCUCGAUGUCGGCUCAUCGCAUCCUGGGGCGGUAGUACGUCCCAAGGGUUGGGCUGUUCGCCCAUGAAAGCGGUACGCGAGCUGGGUUCAGAACGUCGUGAGACAGUUCGGUCCAUAUCCGGUGUAUGCGUUAGAAUAUUGAGAGGAGCCUUCUUUAGUACGAGAGGACCGAGAAGGACAUACCUCUGGUGUACCAGUUAUCGUGCCAACGGUAAACGCUGGGUAGCUAUGUAUGGAGUGGAUAACCGCUGAAAGCAUCUAAGUGGGAAGCCCACCUCAAGAUAAGUAUUCUCAGC